This 1529-nucleotide ribosomal RNA is filed under the name uncultured bacterium. RNAcentral's name for it is "bacterial SSU rRNA". It matches the Rfam family "Bacterial small subunit ribosomal RNA". The record is from RNAcentral.
AGAGUUUGAUCCUGGCUCAGAUUGAACGCUGGCGGCAUGCCUUACACAUGCAAGUCGAACGGCAGCGGGGACUUCGGUCCGCCGGCGAGUGGCGAACGGGUGAGUAAAGUAUCGGAACGUACCUUUCAGUGGGGGAUAACGUAGCGAAAGUUACGCUAAUACCGCAUAUUCUGUGAGCAGGAAAGCAGGGGAUCGCAAGACCUUGCGCUGAUUGAGCGGCCGAUAUCAGAUUAGCUAGUUGGUGGGGUAAAGGCCUACCAAGGCGACGAUCUGUAGCGGGUCUGAGAGGAUGAUCCGCCACACUGGAACUGAGACACGGUCCAGACUCCUACGGGAGGCAGCAGUGGGGAAUUUUGGACAAUGGGGGCAACCCUGAUCCAGCCAUGCCGCGUGAGUGAAGAAGGCCUUCGGGUUGUAAAGCUCUUUCGGCCGGGAAGAAAUCGCAUAGGUUAAUACCCUGUGUGGAUGACGGUACCGGAAUAAGAAGCACCGGCUAACUACGUGCCAGCAGCCGCGGUAAUACGUAGGGUGCGAGCGUUAAUCGGAAUUACUGGGCGUAAAGCGUGCGCAGGCGGUUUCGUAAGACAGAGGUGAAAUCCCCGGGCUCAACCUGGGAACUGCCUUUGUGACUGCGAAGCUAGAGUACGGCAGAGGGGGGUGGAAUUCCACGUGUAGCAGUGAAAUGCGUAGAGAUGUGGAGGAACACCGAUGGCGAAGGCAGCCCCCUGGGCCGAUACUGACGCUCAUGCACGAAAGCGUGGGUAGCAAACAGGAUUAGAUACCCUGGUAGUCCACGCCCUAAACGAUGUCAACUAGGUGUUGGGUGGGUAAAACCAUUUAGUACCGUAGCUAACGCGUGAAGUUGACCGCCUGGGGAGUACGGCCGCAAGGUUAAAACUCAAAGGAAUUGACGGGGACCCGCACAAGCGGUGGAUGAUGUGGAUUAAUUCGAUGCAACGCGAAAAACCUUACCUACCCUUGACAUGUUCAGAAUCCUGGAGAGAUUUGGGAGUGCCCGAAAGGGAGCUGGAACACAGGUGCUGCAUGGCUGUCGUCAGCUCGUGUCGUGAGAUGUUGGGUUAAGUCCCGCAACGAGCGCAACCCUUGUCGUUAAUUGCCAUCAUUUAGUUGGGCACUUUAACGAGACUGCCGGUGACAAACCGGAGGAAGGUGGGGAUGACGUCAAGUCCUCAUGGCCCUUAUGGGUAGGGCUUCACACGUCAUACAAUGGUCGGUACAGAGGGUUGCCCAGCCGCGAGGUGGAGCCAAUCCCAGAAAGCCGAUCGUAGUCCGGAUUGCAGGCUGCAACUCGCCUGCAUGAAGUCGGAAUCGCUAGUAAUCGCGGAUCAGCAUGUCGCGGUGAAUACGUUCCCGGGUCUUGUACACACCGCCCGUCACACCAUGGGAGCGGGUUCCGCCAGAAGUAGGUAGCCUAACCGCAAGGGGGGCGCUUACCACGGCGGGGUUCGUGACUGGGGUGAAGUCGUAACAAGGUAGCCGUAGGGGAACCUGCGGCUGGAUCACCUCCU